RNAcentral lists this long non-coding RNA (329 nucleotides) under Homo sapiens (human). Its description in RNAcentral is "HSALNT0232055". The record is from RNAcentral. Lineage: Eukaryota; Metazoa; Chordata; Mammalia; Primates; Hominidae.
AAAUGCAUGAUAAAAUGCUUUGAGGAUUAUCAGCUCUAGGAUCACUUGGAUCCUAUACAGCAGGUUACCAAAAAUGGGUCUCAUGGAAGAAAUCAUGGCUGAAGACUCUUCAACAUCACCAUUGUACCAGAAGUGGAGGAGAGGGAAAACCUCUCUGAAACAAGGUGGCGAGAUAUCUGUAUGGGAGCUCUGGAAAGUUUAUCAGCUGUGCAAGAUGUUUACACAUUUCUGAAUGCAAAAGGUCUAUUCCACUUAAUCUUCAUAUAGUUCUCAAACAUUAUAACUGAUCUCCAAAUUAUUUUUGAAACUACCUAAGAUUUUCCAGGCAG